This is a non-coding RNA of Trichonephila inaurata madagascariensis, 84 nucleotides long. The record is from the annotation of a GenBank genome assembly. NCBI's taxonomy places the organism in Eukaryota, Metazoa, Arthropoda, Arachnida, Araneae, Nephilidae.
AGGAAAAUCAGUCGCAGUGUCCCGGUAGCGCGUUGGACUUCUAAUCCAAAGGUCGUGGGUUCGAAUCCCACCUUGGGUGACCUA